AUAAUUAAUACUUUACCCAAGUUUUGAUGUCUCAGUACAGAAAGGAGAGAGAAGAUAUCAAAUACACAGCCAAGAACAUUAGGAGAAACAAUACUAAGGAAUUUAAUAGUUAUUUUCUCCCUUUUGUGGUGGGAAAUAUUAUCUCAAUUUGGUAUUUCAGCUGCUGACAGAGUCAAUAAUUCAGAUCUACUUCAACAGUGUAUAGAAGCCAUGACUUCUUGGUGAUGUCCUUCUUAUAUCAACAGUAUUAGUUUACAUUUUCCAGUGGUAAGCCAACCAGCUGUUGGUUUCUGGUGCAACUUUCUCACUCACAACAUGAGCUAUUAUUCAGCAAGGCAGCCAAAAUCCAAUUGUUUCCAUGAUAAAUCCUGCCCACAUCUGAGAUUACACAUCACAGUUGGAACUGUGAUUUUAUAACCACUAAAAAGCAGAAUCAGCCAACGUGGUUAGAAGCUCAGCAGUGUGGUCUCUGUUCUCACAGCAGUAUCUGUACCCAGCCCCAGGCACUGCUGUGCCAUGGGAGAGAUGCUGGACAGGCAUCCUGCAGACCAUCCAGAAAAGUCAGCUCUGCCAAAGGGCACAGCUGGUUUAAUAGAGCCCCUCCACUGCCUUAGCAGGAUUAUGGGAUAAUCCUUUGCCUCAGGGGUCACAGUUCAUUUUGCCAUCAGAAACACAUUACUGUCAGUCUAAACUGUGGGAUUACUGCUGCCUGUAUCACACAGCCUGUGAAACCUAACAAAGCACAGAUCAGAAAUUAUAAGAAUCUCCCCCAAAAAGGCAUAAUGUAAAAAGGACCAGUUUACAUCCAGCCAGAUGGCCCUCCUGGCAGUUCAGCUCCCAAGGUUUGCAAAACCUCUCCUCCAUUGGUAGGCUUGACUAUGGCUCUUCAUUUGUCCCUGAAAGCCUGAAGAAAUAAAUCCCAUUUGGUUCACUGGAAAUUUGGAUGUGUGAAGAGCUGCAGUUUUAUCAACAACAGGUUUUCCCCAAGACAAGCUGUUAACCACAGCAGGAUUAGAGCUUCUGGGUGGAAGUAGAAAGGGGAAUGGGGGGAAGAAAGGAAAGACUUUCUUAGUAAGCCAUGAGUGUAAGUUGUGCAACAUUACCAGGUCUGUGAAAGGCUCUAAAAUGUGCCCUGGCUGACUUGCUCCUCAAAUUUUGCCCUCAGUUAGUCAGGGGAAUUCUGAUUCACUGAUUGCUCAGGGUAUGGUGGUUACCUACAGGCUGCUUGAGAAAACUGACUCCCUACAACCUCUCAAGAUGUACAUCUACAAGAGAUUGGCUUUUUAUCCCACAGGCAGGAAGAGGCAGACUAUUCUCUUCAUCCCUCAUCCUGGUGUACCAGAAAUCCAGAUUGAAGCAAAAGGAUCUCAUAUAAUCUGACAAAUUCCCGUGAACUUCAUAAAUAUUCCAUUUUUAUUCUUCCAAAUAAUUCUAAUAAUAUUCUUAAUAGGUCUAAAUUACUGCCCUCUGUACAACAGCUAGUGCUACAGUAUUCCUCCUAUAGUUAUCUUGGUUUUUCCUUUCCUUCCAUGCAAAGUGCUUAAUUUGACACUGCUUUAGCCUUCAUUCCCUCUCUAAAGAGAUGCACAGAUGCCAGAACUACCAAAAGCAAUAUCAGAAGUGGUGCUUUACUAUGUUAAUAAGGAUGAUUUGGCAGUGAAUAUUGCACACUUUUUCCUCUUCUUUUCAGUCAGACCACAGGUUUCAUCAGAGGAUGUCAGUAAUGCAAAUUUCUACCAAAACCCAAAAAACCAAUUUCUGUGAUUUUCUCUCUGAAGGUGGUCUUUCAUUUGGGCUAACUCCAUCUGCAUGUCCCACAAAGCCACAUCACAAUCUGGCAUCCAGACUAACAGUGAGUAACAUCUAGACACGUAUGGUAUUUUUUGGAGCAACCCUACAAUAUAUUUUCCUUACAGCUACUUGGGACCAACCACAGCCACAGCCCGUGGCUGUGCUGCAGUGAAACCCCACAGCAUUGCUCCUGGUGGGCACAUUGCCUGAUCUGUCCUGGACCCUGCUGACACUCUCAGGCAUGGGUCCCUGCCCUGGCUACGUGCAAAUCUUCUUCAGUGCUCUCUCAUCCCAUCUAGUGAGCACCUAAGCUUUGGUACAUAAAACGGUAACACCCUUGUAGGGAGUAGGUGUCAAAGAAGAUACCUCUCCUUCACAAACAUAAGAACAAGGAGAAUCUGUGUCCUUGGCCAAGUACCUGCAUUCUCCUAUCCUUUUUAAAUGGUAAGAUAAAUGUCAACUGCAUCUAUUAUUAAAUGCAAGGUAAAAAUAAAAGGCUUCUGCUGCAUGCCAGACUGAUUUUAGGUCAUGGUCUGCUGGUGAUGGUGAUAUAUUGCCUUGCAAUGCUUGUCGAGGAAAAAAAACCCAGGUAUUACUCUACAGUCCUGAGGGUCAAACUUGGUUGUGUUUUUCUCUAAUAUAGUGGCCAGGCUCGUAUGAAUACAGUAUUUUUCAGGUACCACAGUCACACCCCAAAACCGUUCAGCUAAGAGAUAUUUUGGUAAUUUAUGGCUCAGCAGCUUCUCAUAAGGCUUCACCUCAAAGCCUUUCAUCAUCCUUGUAGGCCUGUCCUGAAAGGUCUCCAACAACUUUAUAGCUUCCUUCUGCUUUAGCACACAAAAAUGGACAAAAUGUCUAAGGUGAGGCCACUUGAGUGAAGGGCAGAGAGGGACAAUCCCCUCCCUUGCCAGGUCAGUGUUUCUAGGUCUGCUAUCAAUACCCCUCAAGACAUGGGUGACACUCCUGCCUGCCAGGGCACGGCUAAAAUUUCCAUGUCAGUCAGUACAGUGAACUCAGGAUUUCUAGACUGAGCCUAGACCUCUUUCUGUUUCUCUUCCAUCCUGUAUGUAUUUGUGUCAAAUCACUUCAAAUAAGUGAACAAAUGGGCAUUGGAGUGGAAAAGAAAAGGGUUAAGUCCUCCUUGUCCUGCUCUUCCUUCUGGGUGCUCCUUUCCUGUUUCAAGCACAUGAUGUUUCUCUGAAGAGACUCCCAGAAGAUCCUGCCAGUUUUGUCAUCCUCCUUCUGUGUGCUGCAAACCCUGCUCUCUGCAUUGCACAGGUCAGCCCACUAGUGGCUCAGUGCCUCAAAUAUGAGAUGUGUCGCAAAAUUGAGGAUGCCCCCAUCACUGACAGCUGCAGGUAUAGACACCAUGCACUACCUGAAGCCACAUCAGACUUCAGAAGUUCCAACCUUCCUUGCAGGGCUCUGUGUGUGGCUCCAGCUCCAGCAGCUGCUGGCACCAAGCCCUGGGGCACAUCCCUGCCUUUGCUGGGCAGCCUCAAGCAGGGCCACCCUUGACUGAGCACCAUUCCUACACAGUGUGCUCCAGCUUGCCAGAUCCCUGGGAGCUGGACCUCUUCUUUGGUUGCACUCCCCUGGUAAGGAUUCCUCUCGAGAGGCUACAGAGGCUUUGGCCCAUGCUCCAAGCUUCUGUUCCUUUCCUUGACAUGCUUCCUCUGCCCUGUCUCAGGUGACUGCCUGUGCUCGUUCUCUCCCUGCUCUUGUUCCCUGGGCAUGGAUCCAGUCUUAGCCUUCAGAGACUAGUUCUGUCCCUUCUGAGCCUCAUUCUCCUUGGCUUGGAGACCUACAGCUCUUGAAGGGACCUUGGGAUUGGCCUGCAGCCGCAGCAGCCGCAUCACAGAACUGCCUUUCAUGUGCUGCUCCAGCUCCAUAUUAAAACUCAAGGCUCUGCUGACUGGAAAGCUCUUCCAGAGCCCUGUACUUCUGACAGUUACUAGUCCACUUCAAUUUUCCAGCCUCGGUCUUUUUUCCUGCCUCUUUAUGGACACUUGUUGUCGUACCAACUGCUUGUUACACAGGGUAAUUCUUUCCUGAAGGGAUGCUCUCUUCUUUAAUACAAAUAUACAAGGAAUAAGGAAAGCAGCCCCUUGCAAUGGUCCAAAAGUAGAGCAGGAAUCCUUGGCACAGCCUCUGCUCCUGCCUACAGGCAACUUACAGAUAAGGCAGUGCCAGCCUUCUCAGAGGUGGGCAAGGACAAGAGAGAGCAGAUGUCAAGAAGGGGUUCAAGCUGCACCAAGGAGGUCGAACAUUAGGAAGAAUGUUUUCCCCAGACAGGGGGAUUCCACAUUGGAAUGGGCUGCUCAGGGCUGGCUGGAGUGGAAUCCCUACAGUGGGAGGUGCCCAGGAAAGGAAAACCUGGGUGUGGCACUCAGUGCCUCGCUCUAGUUGCGGUGCUGGGGAUGGAUGCCAUGGUCUCCCAGGGCUCUUCCAAGGCAAUGCAUGCCGUGCUUCAGUGACAUCACAGCCCCAGGCACAGCACGAUGGCUGGCAACUGCUGCCAGCCCGUGCCCACAGCCAGGACAUACCUCAGUGCACACACAGCAAGGCCUGAGGCUGUUCACUGCUGGUCAAGCAUGGAGGGCCAGAGCUUCCCCUGGAUCCUGCCGCUUGCGCUGCUGGUGGUCUUGGGACAUCCCCUGGACACUUCUGUCUGUCCUGCUGUGAACACAGGCACCUCAGCUGUGCUUGAUGAGACCCUGGAGCAGUGGGACUUGAGCCCAGAGAUGACUCCCUUGAGGCGCGUGGAGCUGACUUCUUGGAGAUUCAAAAACCUGGACCUGCUGAUGGUGGCCAUUUCACUUGGCUGGUGGCUGUCCAGAAGCCUCUGGAGAUUCUGGGGAGAGGUCAGGGAGAGAAGGAAGUCAGGCAGGAGGAGCAGCCAAGCCCCCCGGCCUCUACAGGGACAGGCUACCAGGGACACAGCUGCUGCAAGGAAAUGUUCCAGCUGCUGAGGGACAGCCGUACCCUGAUGUGGCUGUAUCUGCACCGUCACCCUCUGCAGAGGCCAGGAGAAAAGAGACCAAGGAAAUGGGGCCUUUGGAAGAGGAGGAAAAUCUACUUCUCCCCUUGACGGUGUCUCUCCAGCCUGGCUCGCCAUUUGCAGGGCAUGCUCAGCCCAGGCACCUCAACAUCCCCCACUCUUAGACCUAGCUAUAGAGUUCCCAGCAGUCUGCUCCCCCAAAAGUUGCAGUUUUUCAUAGAGUUCAAGUUCCCAAGAGCUGAUGUAGUCUUAGGCAUAGCAUUCUCUCCCCUGUAGUCUUCACACCCCCUAGCUGUAGCUCUUGAGAGCAGUCCAAAUCAAUAAACUUCUCCUUUUCUCUCCA
Non-coding RNA from Cyanistes caeruleus (blue tit), 5135 nucleotides. NCBI's taxonomy places the organism in Eukaryota, Metazoa, Chordata, Aves, Passeriformes, Paridae. The record is from RefSeq and is a predicted model, not a curated record.